Molecule: ribosomal RNA, 404 nt
Filed under: Klebsiella pneumoniae subsp. pneumoniae KPNIH21
Lineage: Bacteria; Pseudomonadati; Pseudomonadota; Gammaproteobacteria; Enterobacterales; Enterobacteriaceae
Description: bacterial LSU rRNA
Rfam family: Bacterial large subunit ribosomal RNA
Source: RNAcentral
GGUUAAGCGACUAAGCGUACACGGUGGAUGCCCUGGCAGUCAGAGGCGAUGAAGGACGUGCUAAUCUGCGAAAAGCGUCGGUAAGGUGAUAUGAACCGUUACAGCCGGCGAUGUCCGAAUGGGGAAACCCAGUGCAAUUCGUUGCACUAUCGUUAACUGAAUACAUAGGUUAACGAGGCGAACCGGGGGAACUGAAACAUCUAAGUACCCCGAGGAAAAGAAAUCAACCGAGAUUCCCCCAGUAGCGGCGAGCGAACGGGGAGCAGCCCAGAGUCUGAAUCAGCUUGUGUGUUAGUGGAACGGUCUGGAAAGUCCGACGGUACAGGGUGAUAGUCCCGUACACCAAAAUGCACAGGCUGUGAACUCGAAGAGUAGGGCGGGACACGUGGUAUCCUGUCUGAAUA